RNAcentral lists this ribosomal RNA (2910 nucleotides) under Escherichia coli ABU 83972. RNAcentral describes it as "bacterial LSU rRNA". It matches the Rfam family "Bacterial large subunit ribosomal RNA". Lineage: Bacteria; Pseudomonadati; Pseudomonadota; Gammaproteobacteria; Enterobacterales; Enterobacteriaceae. The record is from RNAcentral.
GGUUAAGCGACUAAGCGUACACGGUGGAUGCCCUGGCAGUCAGAGGCGAUGAAGGACGUGCUAAUCUGCGAUAAGCGUCGGUGAGGUGAUAUGAACCGUUAUAACCGGCGAUUUCCGAAUGGGGAAACCCAGUGUGUUUCGACACACUAUCAUUAACUGAAUCCAUAGGUUAAUGAGGCGAACCGGGGGAACUGAAACAUCUAAGUACCCCGAGGAAAAGAAAUCAACCGAGAUUCCCCCAGUAGCGGCGAGCGAACGGGGAGGAGCCCAGAGCCUGAAUCAGUGUGUGUGUUAGUGGAAGCGUCUGGAAAGGCGUGCGAUACAGGGUGACAGCCCCGUACACAAAAAUGCACAUAUUGUGAGCUCGAUGAGUAGGGCGGGACACGUGGUAUCCUGUCUGAAUAUGGGGGGACCAUCCUCCAAGGCUAAAUACUCCUGACUGACCGAUAGUGAACCAGUACCGUGAGGGAAAGGCGAAAAGAACCCGGCGAGGGGAGUGAAAAAGAACCUGAAACCGUGUACGUACAAGCAGUGGGAGCCUCUUAAUGGGGUGACUGCGUACCUUUUGUAUAAUGGGUCAGCGACUUAUAUUCUGUAGCAAAGGUUAACCGAAUAGGGGAGCCGAAGGGAAAACUGAGUCUUAACUGGGCGUUAAGUUGCAGGGUAUAAACCGAAAACCGGUGAUCUAGCCAGGGGCAGGUUGAAGGUUGGGUAACACUAACUGGAGGACCGAACCGACUAAUGUUGAAAAAUUAGCGGAUGACUUGUGGCUGGGGGUGAAAGGCCAAUCAAACCGGGAGAUAGCUGGUUCUCCCCGAAAGCUAUUUAGGUAGCGCCUCGUGAAUUCAUCUCCGGGGGUAGAGCACUGUUUCGGCAAGGGGGUCAUCCCGACUUACCAACCCGAUGCAAACUGCGAAUACCGGAGAAUGUUAUCACGGGAGACACACGGCGGGUGCUAACGUCCGUCGUGAAGAGGGAAACAACCCAGACCGCCAGCUAAGGUCCCAAAGUCAUGGUUAAGUGGGAAACGAUGUGGGAAGGCCCAGACAGCCAGGAUGUUGGCUUAGAAGCAGCCAUCAUUUAAAGAAAGCGUAAUAGCUCACUGGUCGAGUCGGCCUGCGCGGAAGAUGUAACGGGGCUAAACCAUGCACCGAAGCUGCGGCAGCGACACUAUGUGUUGUUGGGUAGGGGAGCGUUCUGUAAGCCUGUGAAGGUGGCCUGUGAGGGUUGCUGGAGGUAUCAGAAGUGCGAAUGCUGACAUAAGUAACGAUAAAGCGGGUGAAAAGCCCGCUCGCCGGAAGACCAAGGGUUCCUGUCCAACGUUAAUCGGGGCAGGGUGAGUCGACCCCUAAGGCGAGGCCGAAAGGCGUAGUCGAUGGGAAACAGGUUAAUAUUCCUGUACUUGGUGUUACUGCGAAGGGGGGACGGAGAAGGCUAUGUUGGCCGGGCGACGGUUGUCCCGGUUUAAGCGUGUAGGCUGGUUUUCCAGGCAAAUCCGGAAAACCAAGGCUGAGGCGUGAUGACGAGGCACUACGGUGCUGAAGCGACAAAUGCCCUGCUUCCAGGAAAAGCCUCUAAGCAUCAGGUAACAUCAAAUCGUACCCCAAACCGACACAGGUGGUCAGGUAGAGAAUACCAAGGCGCUUGAGAGAACUCGGGUGAAGGAACUAGGCAAAAUGGUGCCGUAACUUCGGGAGAAGGCACGCUGAUAUGUAGGUGAAGCGACUUGCUCGUGGAGCUGAAAUCAGUCGAAGAUACCAGCUGGCUGCAACUGUUUAUUAAAAACACAGCACUGUGCAAACACGAAAGUGGACGUAUACGGUGUGACGCCUGCCCGGUGCCGGAAGGUUAAUUGAUGGGGUUAGCGGUAACGCGAAGCUCUUGAUCGAAGCCCCGGUAAACGGCGGCCGUAACUAUAACGGUCCUAAGGUAGCGAAAUUCCUUGUCGGGUAAGUUCCGACCUGCACGAAUGGCGUAAUGAUGGCCAGGCUGUCUCCACCCGAGACUCAGUGAAAUUGAACUCGCUGUGAAGAUGCAGUGUACCCGCGGCAAGACGGAAAGACCCCGUGAACCUUUACUAUAGCUUGACACUGAACAUUGAGCCUUGAUGUGUAGGAUAGGUGGGAGGGUUUGAAGUGUGGACGCCAGUCUGGAUGGAACCAACCUUGAAAUACCACCCCUUUAAUGGUUUGAUGUUUUAACGUUUGGCCCGUAAUCCCGGGUUGCGGAAAGUGUCUGGGGGGUAGUUUGACGGGGGGGGGCUCCCUCCAAAAAAAUAAACGGAGGAGCACGAAGGUUGGCUAAUCCUGGUCGGACAUCAGGAGGUUAGUGCAAUGGCAUAAGCCAGCUUGACUGCGAGCGUGACGGCGCGAGCAGGUGCGAAAGCAGGUCAUAGUGAUCCGGUGGUUCUGAAUGGAAGGGCCAUCGCUCAACGGAUAAAAGGUACUCCGGGGAUAACAGGCUGAUACCGCCCAAGAGUUCAUAUCGACGGCGGUGUUUGGCACCUCGAUGUCGGCUCAUCACAUCCUGGGGCUGAAGUAGGUCCCAAGGGUAUGGCUGUUCGCCAUUUAAAGUGGUACGCGAGCUGGGUUUAGAACGUCGUGAGACAGUUCGGUCCCUAUCUGCCGUGGGCGCUGGAGAACUGAGGGGGGCUGCUCCUAGUACGAGAGGACCGGAGUGGACGCAUCACUGGUGUUCGGGUUGUCAUGCCAAUGGCACUGCCCGGUAGCUAAAUGCGGAAGAGAUAAGUGCUGAAAGCAUCUAAGCACGAAACUUGCCCCGAGAUGAGUUCUCCCUGACUCCUUGAGAGUCCUGAAGGAACGUUGAAGACGACGACGUUGAUAGGCCGGGUGUGUAAGCGCAGCGAUGCGUUGAGCUAACCGGUACUAAUGAACCGUGAGGCUUAACCUU